AGACACUCAAAUAUUUCCUCUGGCCUUGCGAUAAGCUAGCCGUUCAGAGGUAUGUAGAAGGUGUCCAGGAUCUUAUAGGUUAAAUGGACAUAAAGUUUGAUUGCAUUGUGGUGUUUUGGGAGUAUGAUAACUUACAGAGCAUGUGUGAGCAGGAUGAACUUGGGCACAGAGGCAGCACUGACAAAGUCUGCUUGAGCAUACAAAUGUAGGUAAUAAAAAAAGGGCACUAGAGCUGUGUUUGGAAUGUGAUUAGGAGUUUGCUAGGCAGAUAGAAUCAGCAGGAAAACUCUAGGCUGAUGGGAGUACAUGUACAAAGGAAUAGAAGGAAGAAAUUUGACUUAUUUGGGUAAUUGGAGAUGGCUGGCUGAGGGUUUGAGGCGAGGGGUGAAUGAGUUGAGGUUAGAAAGAUGGUAGUGAGAUCACAGAAGCCCUGUCUGUAGUGUUGGGUUUACAUUUUGCCUCAUAGGUAACAGGGAUUGUUUGAAAGAUUUUAAUCAGAAGAGUAAUUGAUCAGACUUUCAUUUUACACAGUUACUCUGGGGUCAGUGUAUAGAAUGGCUUGGAGAGAGAAGCUGGCAGUUUGGUGAGGAAUCCAAGUCAGAGUUAAUCAAUUAAGACCUGUUUUUAGGCAGUGGCAGUAGAGGAGGAUCUGACUUGAAAGCUAAAAUUAGUAGGAUUUUAAUGUGACCUCUUAAGAUGUGGUGGCUAUUGCCCUUUUCCUAAAUUGAGAAAGUACAGAUUAGCUAGAGAAAAGAUGGAUUUGAAUCACUUAUGUACUUAGUUAAUAGAAAUAUGACUAAAAGGAGCAGUUAGAAUUUGGGACUGAUGUACCUUUUUAAUAGAUGAAGGGGAGGCAGAGAAAGGGCAUUUUUGGGAAAAUAGAUAACUUUCUAGAAAGGUAAAGGGCCCUUAGGAGAAUAAUUCUGUGACAUUGUUUGGAUGUGGUCUGUUUAGGUGUCUUCUAAGAAGAUUAGAGUUGUUCCUGGGGAGGGGAUUAAUGGCAAUUGAGUUCUUUCCAUUUCUUUUGGGAGAUUCUCCUUUUAGGCUGAUAGGGAUUUUAGGAAUGCAAAUGCCUUUAGCUUGAAAUAAUUUUUAUACCACAGUAGUUGCUUCUUGAUCCUUUCUUGGUGAAGGAGAGGAGAAAUUACUGUGAUUCUGACUUGAGUGAUAGUGGUGCUAUUGAUAGUGAAGUACGCAAAGAAGAGCAUGUUUCAGAAGUGUAAAAAUUUUAUUUGUAUAAUCGAACUUGGAGCACCUGUGGAACAUACAGGUAGAGAUACUAGGAAGUAAUUAGAUAUAGAUCUGGGAGCUCAAGAGAGAGCUCAAAGAAGCCGAGGGUAUGGAUGAAGUAUACCUAGGAGAGUAGGAAGAGUGGGAAAAGAAAAAGGUUCUAGAGAUGAACCAGAGGGGGUUGGAAAAUGAGGGAGAUGGGGAAAAAUAAAAAAGAAAUUGAGCUUAUAAAGGAGACUGUAGGGAGAAAUAGCUGAGGACAAAGAGAACUGGGAGAGUUAUAGAAACCAAGGAGGGCGGGGGGGACAGGGUAGCAGGGAGAAUAAGCAGUAGGGAUCUACAAGGUCAGGUGCAGAGUAGAAUUAUAUAUGUUCAGAAAAUAUUUUUUGAUUCAGUGUAUAAUAAUGGUACAGUUUUGAGGAGGAAAUGGAGGAUUGUUUAUUUAAAAGAAUUUGGAACAGUUGGCUUACCAUUUUCCUUAUGACAAAAUACAUCUAAAAAUUAAACGUAAAAAAUUGGAAGUGAUAAAAAACUAGAAGAAAAUAUGGGCCAGUAUGUAGGUGUCAGACUAGAAUUCUGUACCCAGCAAAAAUAUUCUUUACCAGUGAGAACAAAAUUAUUACUUGUUUUGAUCAACAAAAUUUAUUAACUGAUAGAAUAACAAAGAAUCAGAGGGGUUAGAAAAUCUUAGUAACAUAAUUAGUAAACGUGACCUAAUUGAGAUGUCAUUUAGUAGUAGACUAGACAAAAUGGAAGAGAGAGUAUUUUGAAAAAAAGAAAUAUUCAAAACAAAAUAUGGGAUAUAACAAAACAUGAAAUAAAUACUUUGUGCCUAAUACAAUAGACUAUUCAUUCUUCUCAUAUGCACAGAGAACAUUUACCAAAAUUGCUGAUCCAUAAAGCAAGUUUUAACAAAUUUCAAGACUAAAAUUAGACUGUCAAACUUAGUAUAACGAUAGGUUUGAUAUUUGGAAAAUUGAUCAGUAUAAAACUUGCAGAAAAUAACGUGAUGAUGUCAAUAGAUGCAAUAUUGCCACUGGUAAAAUUCAACACUCAUUAAACAUGAAAUAGCAUAUUAUUAUUAAAAGGUAACUUCCUUAAUCUGGUGAAGGUUAGACUCAGAAAAAAGGUUAGAUCUCUGGCAUGCAUCAUGUUUAAUGGUGAAAAUGUUGAAUGUUUUCCUUUAGAGGCUGGGGAAAAAAUAAGUUAUUUUUAAUAUCACCAUUCCUGUUUAUUAAAGGACAUUCUACCUAAUUAAAUUAUAAGACAAGAAAAAUGGAGUAUGGAAGUCAAAAUAGAAUAAAUCUGAUUUUAUAGAUGACACAAUAGUGUAUGCACAAAGACUAAAAAUAUAUUCUUACAACUUAUUUUAAAUACUCACCAGACUGCAAAACUCAAAGUAACUUCAGACCCAUUUUUAUAUGCCAGUGACAAAUAGGAAAUGUAAUAAAAUAUAUCAGUUGUAAUAACAUAAAAAUCCAUAUUUUUCAGAAAAAGUUUAUGUCUAAAGCAAUAAACAUUAUUGAGAAAUGUUAAAGAACUACAGAAGGGGAUAUACCAUAUUCAUGGAUUAGAAGACCCUAUUGUAAAAUGUUGAUAUGCCUAAAAUUCAUCUAUGUACUCAGUAUAUCAAUCAAAAUGCCAGCAGAUUGUGUGUGUGUGUGUGUGUGGGGGGUGUGUAUGUGUGUGUGUGUGGAAAUUAACAAAUGGAUACUAAAAUGUACACGAAAAUGUAAGCAUCCAGGAAUGGCUGAAAAAAUUUUUGAAGGACAACAAAGUGAGCAGAUUUAUGUUUCAGGGUAGCAAGACUUAUUAUACAGCUAUAGUAAUACCAUACUCUUGUAUGGUUCUAGUAAAAGACUAGACAGACACACCAAUUGAACACAGUAGUCCAAAAAGAGACCUACAUUUGUAGGGCACUUGAUGUGUAUUACUUAAGAGGCCCUGCAGUGUAGUCCACAAAGGAUAGUCUCUGCAGUAAACGGUUUGUGGGGGCUGGGGACACAGCUCAGUGGUAGAACAGUUGCCUAGUAUGUGCAAAGCCCUGGGUUUGAUCCUCAUCACCAUCCAUCAAUCAAUAAAUAAAAUUAAAUAGAAAAAGAAAAAACGUAUUUGGUUAAUUACAUACAUAUGGGACAAACAAAAAUGUCACAAUGAUACUUUUUUUUUGUGAUGCUGGGGACUGAACCUAGGGCCUUCCUCAUACUAGGCAAGCAUACUACCAUUGCAUUGAGCCACAUCCCCAGCCUAAAUAAAACAAAAAUAUGAGACACCUACCUAUGCCUGACAGAUUUUUUUCCCCAAAUUCAUAUCAGUCUGGAUCCAGUUAGGAGGAAGAAACCAGUAAAUUGAAAGAAAAGUUUAAUAUGAAGAUACUAGUUAGAACAGGGAAUUUAAGUUAUAAGGGAUUGGCUAAUAAAAGGCAACAAGAACUCUAUAGAAAGCAAGGAUAGCAGAUACAUGGAGCAGCUGCUGCCUCUAGUGCUGAGAUAGAGGGCCCCCUUCCCUCAGGACUGAGACAAGACUAUACCCAGAAGACAUGGUUCUGGUUUAUUGUGUGGCAGACAAGUCCCUGGAGUGUCACACUGGUGGUGCUUGAUGGGAAUCUACUUCCGGAUUUGGCAGAAGCCACUCUGCUGGGCUCCAGAGAAAAAUGCUUCAUGGGGAGGUAUCCACUGUGGUACCUUGCUAAAACCACCCAGGUAGGAUGUUGGGGAGCUGCUGGGCAUUUCUGGCUGCAGUGUGCUACGGUCUCCAGAGGCCAGAACCACUGUGCAUACUACAGAAGCUGGAUGGUGGAGUAGUCACUCGGGGUGCAAGAGCUGGUUGCUGUUGAUCACUUACUGCAGAAAAACCUGGAAGGCUGUACAUAUCAAGAUGCCAAGAUGGUGCACACGUUUGUUUCUUUUUCUUAUUGGCAAAUAGGGUUAUGAUGAUUUCUCCUCCCUUCCAUAUUAAAUUCAGCAUUUAUUCAAUAAAAGUCAUUGCGUGUUUCUUCUGAGCUAUACUGGAUGCAUGGGAAUGGACAAAAUAGACAUUGCACUUACCUUUGCAGAGUUUGUGGUGUGGUCGAAUAGCUAUUCAGUUGAGCUUCUUCUUUGUGCUAGGUAUUGUUCUGGUCCUUGGGGAUGUAUAUCUUGGUGAUCAAGACACUCUUGCCUUCAAAAGGAAAUAGCUAUCGAGCAGAUAAUCAUAUGAAUAGCUGCAUCUUAGGGAAUCAUCUAAAGGGACAGAAAGGGAAAAUUCUGAAUUGUCAGUUCAGAGGUGAGAGAUCAGGAUGGGGCUGGAAGACCUUGCAGUGGGAAAGAGCUUGGCUCAUUUGAAGAAGUGAGACUCAGGGAAAUUUGAAAGUAGGGUGAUGAAGACAGUGUCAGGAGAAAAGGCCCCAGUAGGGGCCAACUUGCUCUCAGCCUUAGGCCACCUUGGGAACCAGGGUAGGCCAAUGAAGGUACCCCCUGUAGAGUUCUACAGUCAGAGCCCAAUGGAUUCUUUUUAGGUGUUUUUAUUACCAUCUUAUGGUGUGCUGAGUGGUCAGUUGAUUGGAGGCAAGACUGGCGAUCUUGAGACCUUGCACACAUUUGCAGGAAUCCAAGGAUGCUCAAUGAUGGAGCUUGACAUACAUGGAUUACUUGGGGAUGGGGUUUGGAAAUAGAAUCAGACUUGGGGAUGGAUUGAAUGUGGGCUAGGAGGGAGAUGGAACUGUUGAGAAUGACUUCCAGGUUUCUGGAAUGUGAAGCCAUUUUUCUCUGUACUUUUGAAACGAGUAUAACUUACUUGUUGAGUUUAAAAAGUUAAAGAAACUUGAAUUUGGAGAUGAGGAAGGCUUUGGUAACUAAACAAAAAUACAGUUACAGAGGGAGAUAGAAAGUGAAGAAAAGGUGAUGUUAUAGAUCUGCAAGUUCUUAGAGAAGCUGUAAGGUAGAAGGCUAAUGUAAGGCUGUGGGACAGAGGGUGUCAGGUUUUGUUUUAUAGAUGGGGCAGAUGUGAGCAACUUCUUUUGGGAUGGAGAAACCAUAGAGAGAAGAGAAUUAUCUGCGUUUCUUAACAGAUAAUUGAAUGUCUGUAUGCGAGGCAAUAUUCUAAGUCCUUGCAGUAUAAACCACAACACAUAGCCCCCUUUUCUGGGAGCCUAACUUGCAAAGUGGGAAGAUGACAAUAAAUAAAUAAUCUGCCAAAUGCAUUAUAAACAGAAAAAGAAAUAAAGCCUGUUAAUGGGGAGGUACAGGAGUGCUGAGGUGGGUGGACAGUGGGAUGUGAUUAUAUGCGGUGGGUGGCAUUUAUGGACUUGAUGCCACUAGAAUGUAAGAUACAACAGGGAAGGGAUUUUUGUUUUACUCACUGUUAUCUCCAGAAUUUAGAAUGGUGCCUGACACAUAGUGCUCAAUAAAUAAUUGUUGUGUAAAUCAAUUGAUUAUAUACUAUCAAGGAUGGGAUGAAAUGAGUUGUGGAAUACAGUUGUGAAUGAAGAUGUAGGGAUAUAAGUACCCAUAUUCCCAAUUCAAAUUAUAAUUAUCUUUGCUAUAAUUAUCUUUGGAUUCAGCUAUUCAGUUGUAUUUUGGAUCCUUUGGUUAUCUUUGUUUCAUGGCUUUAGUUUGGCUUGCUGUAUGUUUCUUAGGUAUAUUAAUAUAAUUUACAAACCUUACUUAUCCUUAGGCACAUUACUGAAAUGAGAAGUGACUGUUCUCAGUAAUUUAAAAAUAAAAUUUGCACUAUUAUAUUGGUUUAUAUAUUGAAGAUGUUUAAUAACCUUUCUUGCUUUCAGCAUUAUGCUGCUUUAAAGCGGUGUGUGUAUGUAUUGUGGUUGUUUUAUGCCAACUAAAGAAACCAGUUUAGCUGGGUUUAAACUGCAGUGGUUGUAUGUUAAACCAAGUCACACUCUCCUUGCUGUUCCUGUUUUGAUCAGUCAGUUUGGCUGAUCCCAUAGCGAGUCUUUUCAUCGAGUUUGCAAAGUUCAGCCUUAUGACAGUGUUCUAGUUUGUUUGAAAUCCUAUAGCAGGCCAGUCCUCUCUGCUUUAGGCAUGCAUGAAGAAGACUGUCUUCUGUGUGCCAAGUCUCAGCUCUGUGUUGGGGAUUCCAGUGCCAUACAUGACUUUGUUCUAGCUCAGGAAGCGCUGGCUUCUGGCAGCAGGGCUUGCCUUUGUCAAAAAGAAUUGACACAGGUGUUUUAAGACCAGUCAAAGCUGGAAGUUCCCUUAUGUUUCAAAGAUUUCACAUAUUAAUGAGGAAAAGGGAGCAUACAAAACAACUAUAUCCUUUUUGCCAUAGGUUGUCCUUUCUUAGAGAAAUCACUUUAUCUCUCUUGUAAAAGUGUAUAAAAUAUACUUAAUUAUAAAAGUAAUAAAUGGUCAUAGAAAAGAUUCUAACAACAUAGGAGUGUGGAGGUUAAAAAAUGGAAAAUUUUCUCUAAAAUCGUACAUUGUAGAAGAUAACAUUGUCAUCAAUUUGAUUUAUAUUUGUAUUAGUCAGUCUUUUUGUUACCAUACAGAAUACCCAAGUCUAGGAACUUUAUAAAGUGAAGAGGUGUAUUUAGCUCACAGUUUAGAAGGCUGAAAGUCUCAAGAUUGAAUGGCUCCAUUGGUUCAGCCUCUGGUGAGGGACUAAUGGCUGAUGGCUGGAGUGCAUAUGAGUGGGAGAGAUCACAUUGCCUAAUAGGAAGGCAAGGUGUGUGGACUGGACCCAGGCCCUUAGAAUAGCCCCCUUGUGACAACCAACCAGGGUCUCAUGAGAAGUACCUUAACCCCUUCUGAGGGCAUGCCCCAGUUGAUCUAAGAAGCUUCUACUGGGCCCUACCCUGUUGAAGGUUCCACAUCCCCUUCCAGUACCUCCAUCCCUGGGACUAAAGCCUCUUACACGUAUAGACUUUUGGGGCCACACUCAAACAUAUCCUUAUCCGUAUGGUAAUAUCCUUAUUUGGAUUUUAAAGAUGCAUAUGUACAUCAUGUAUGUGUGAGUAAUAUAUAUCUGCAUGUAAGUAUGUGUGAAUGCAAGUACACACACAUAGAAGAGGAAUCAUAUACACGACUUAACUGUUUUCUUCUCCUAACAAUUUAUUAUGGGCAUUUUACAUUUCAGUGAGUGUGUUUGUGUGUGUGUGUGUCUGUGUGUACGCUUGUGUGUGUGCAUGAUUGCAUAACACAGUGUUCCAUAAAGAAUUAAGUCAUCCCAUAUUUUGUUUUUAUAAGUAGUGAUGCACUUAACCUUCUGUUAACUGUUUUCGUGAGGGGGGGUGUGGGGGGCUAAUUGGGAUUGGACCUAGGGGCACUGUACCACUGAUCUACACCUCCAGCCUUUUUAAAUUUUAUUUUCAGGUAGCGUUUUACUAAGUUACUGAGUCUGUCCUUGAACUUUCCAUCCUCCUGCCUCAGUCUCCUCUGAGUAGCUGGGAUUAGAGGUGUGCACCACCUUGCCCAGCAUGUUCACAUAUUUUUGCACACUUCACUGUUAUUUUCUCAGAAGACAGAAGGGCUUGUCAAAGUGUAAACAUUUGCCAUGUAACCUUGUGAAAAGAUACCAACUUGUAUUCUCAGUUACCAAAUACGAGCGUCCCAUUUCCCCAGACCCUCACCAACACCAGGUGUUACUACCACUCUUAAAUCUUUCUCAGUCUAACAGGUGAAAACUUAUGUCUCUUUUUGAUUUGCAUUUCUUUGUAUAUUUCUGUGAUCUAGCAUGUUCUGACCAUUUGUAUUACUUUGUAUCUUUAUUCUUUUUAGUUAUAGACAGUAGAAUAUAUUUUGACAUGGAGUAUAACUUCCCAUUCUUGUGGUUGUACAUGAUGUAGAGUUACAGUGGUCAGAUAUUCAUAUUUGUGUUAAUUUUUUUGAUAUCUUUUUUGAACUGUCUUUAGUCCUUUGUUCUUUUUUUUCUUGGUAGAUUCUUUUCCCUUUUUCUGAUUUCCGAAUGUUUUUUUAAAAAAAAUAUAUGUAUAAUUUUUCUCCUGUUAGUCAUCUGUAUUUGUCUUAAUUUAUUAUUAUUUUUUAACUUGAUAUAUCCUCAUGCCAGUUCGGUGACUCAUGCACUCAACUUUGAAUCUUCUAGCAUUGGUAGCAAACUUAGGAAAGUCUUCCCCAUACCACUAACUAGAUGUUCUGUUUGCUUAUUUGUUUAGAAUUUUAUCCUCAAGAUGUUUAACAGCUAAAUAAUUUUUCAGAUAUAUGGGCAGGGUGAAGUAGAGCUCUGGGUUUUCUCCAGAACACACACUUAUUGUUGAAUUGUUGAUGUUUUAUUGCUGACUUAAAAUGCCAUCUUUAGGGCUGGGGUUGUAUGGCUUAGUGGUAGAGUAGUUGCUUAGCAUGUGUGAAAAUCUGGGUUCGAUUCUCUGCUCUGCAUAUAAAUAAAUGAAUAAAAUUUUAAAAAUUAUAGCAUCUAAAAAUAUUUUUUAAAAAAUUCCACCUUUAUCAUGCUCAGUUUUUACAGUUACAUGGUUCUUGAUAGCAGGACUCUGCUCAGCAAUCCAUUUGUUCUGUGCCUCUAUCAGUAGUACAUAUUUUUCCUUUCCUUACAUAUUAAUUUACUUAUUCCCACAUAUUGUAAAGAGAACAUUACUGCUUCUCUUCCCAUCUUAAAUAUCUUCUCAGAAAACAGGAGUGUGACUUUACAGUACACAUUCAUUUGUGUGAAUUGUCUCUGUACUAAUUUCAAUAAGUUGAGGUCAUACAAUCUUUCAGAAGUUGUGGGUUGAAGGGCUGGGGUUGUGGCUGAGCCUAGAGCGCUCACCUUGCAGGUGCGAGGCCCUGGGUUCAGUCCUCAACACCACAUUAAAUAAAUAACUAAAUAAAAUAAAGGUAUUAAAAAAUUAAAAAAAGUUGUGGGUUGAUAAAAAUGUAAAUAGAGCAACUGUCUUUGCUGUGGAAGAUGGAAUUUAAAUAAUCCUUACCUGUAUUUCUCUAGCCAUCACUUCCUAGCCUUUCUCAUAUCUUAGAAUACAUCAAGAAUAAAUAUAUUUUCAGGGCCACUGGGUAGAUGGAGGAGUGCUCUGGGUGUGGUCUGGAUGGCCUGUCCCCUCACAGGGGACCAGGGAUCAACACCUGCAACCCAUUCUUUAUGUGCUGCAGGUGAUUAGGAAGUAUUCAGGAAGUGCUGCUCUAGGCUGAUGUACUCCCACUUCAAAAUUUUUGUAGGUCUUGACAGUUUGAUAAUGAUUUAAUAUUUGGAGAGCCAGAUUUCUCUAAAAAUGUUUUUAUUGGGGGUUGGGGUUAUAGCUCAGUGGUAGAGCACUUGCCUCGCACAUGUGAGGCACUAGGUUCAAUAUUCAGCACCACAUAAAAACAAACAAACAAAGAUAUUGUGUCCAUUUAAACAUUUAAUAAAUGUUUUUAUUGUGGUGAGGUAUAUGCAAUAGAAAAUUGACGCUCUCAGUGAUUUUUUACUUGUACAGUUUAACAGUGUUUUUAAACACAUUUACAUUAUUUUGUGACCAUCACCACUGUUCAGCUGAGAAUGUUAUCUUCCCAAGCUACAGCUUUGUCCUUAUCAAACGCUAAUUCCCCACACCACUCUCUUAGCAAUUACUGUCUACUGUCCAUGUACAAAUCUGACUACUCCAGGGUCCUCAGAACGUGGAGUCACACAGCAUUCAUUCAUUCAUUUGACUGGCCUCUUUUAUCAUGGUGUCUUUAAGGUUCAUCCAUGUUGUAGCAUGUGACAGAACUUCCUUUCUUUUAAAGGCUGAAUAAUAUUCCAUUAUGUAUAGACCAUUAUGUUUAUGCAUUCAUCCAAUAAUGAACACUUGAGUUGCUUCUACCUUUGGAUAUUUUUUUUUUUUAAAUAUUUAUUUAUUUAUUUUUGUUUUCGGCGGACACAACAUCUUUGUUUGUAUGUGGUGCUGAGGAUCGAACCCGGGCCGCACACAUGCCAGGCGAGCGCACUACCUCUUGAGCCACAUCCCCAGCCCACCUUUGGAUAUUUUGAAUAACGCUACUGUGAACAUGGUUGGGCAAAUAUGAGAGCCAGACUUUGUGCAGAGCCAGACUUUCCUCAGGGCUUGAUCCUAGACUUUUCUUUCUGUGACCAUUAAAUGUGGAUAUUUCUCAGGAAUUAGACCAAGGCCCUUCUCCUCUUCCCCCUUGGUUUUCUAAAAGUGAAGCAAAGAGAUUUUGUCAGUCUCAUCUUGUACAUGAACAAUAUGACCUUAUUUUUUUUUUUAAAGAGGACAAAGCAACAAGACCAAUGAAUUACACUAUUUUUAAAGGGUUUAACCCCCCCCCCAGCUUUAUGAGAUAUAAUUGGCAAAUAAAAAUUAUGUACAUUCAAGGUUCACAGUGUAAUGGUUUGAUUUAUAUAUAUAUAUGUGUGUGUGUAUUGCAUAAUGAUGAACCAUUAACACAUGCUUCACCACUCAUGUGGCAUGUGUGGGAGGAGGCAAGACCCUUGAAACCUGCUGCUUAGCACAUUUCAAGUAAGUAGAGCAGCAUUAUUAACCAUAGUCACCAUGCUGUGUGUUGGGGCCCAGAACUUACUCAUCUUACAACUGAAAGUACAUCCCCUUUGACCAGCAUUUCCCAUUUCCUCCAGCCCCAUCCCCUGUCGACUCCCGUUCUGCUCUCUGUCUUAGGAGAGUACUUCAGCCUCCCAAGUGCUCAAGUCAUAUCCUGAGAAUCACUUUUAAAACAAACCUUCUAAUUUGGGGUACUUUUAGAGUCACUGCAAAGUUGCAAAAAUUUUGUGGACCCUAGUUGCUCUGUUAAAAUUGCUAUGGCUUGUUUGUCACCACCAGUGAACCAAUGUGGAUAUAUUAUUAUAAACUGAACUCCAGAGGAAAUUCAAAUUUCCUUUGUUUUUCCCUAAUGUCCUUUUCUUUUCCAGGAUCCCACCCAGGAUGCCAUAUUAUAUCUAGUUUUCAUAUGUUUUUAAGUUCCAUUAUACUGUCAGUUUCUCAGACUUUCCUUUUUAUUAUUGACCUUGACAGGAGAGGUAUUUUAUACGAUGUUCUUCAAUUUGGGUUUGUCUGCUCUUUCUGUCAUCAUUAGACUCGGAUUAUGGGUUUUUGGAAGGAAGACCACAUCACAUCAAGGGUUCCUGUUCUCAGUGUGACUUACUACUGGUGAUGUAAACUUUGGUCACUUGGCUGAGGUACUAUUUAUCAGGUUUCUUCACUGUAAAGUUACCAUUUUUCUCCCCAAAAGAGGUCAUUUUAGAAACUUUCCCUGUUUUAAUCUGUACUGAAUCUAAACCACUUUACACUGUAUCUUUUUCCCAAGUAAGUUUCCAUUCUGUUCACAUCACUCUGUUUAAGCGCCACUCCUGUCUAGGCAGCAGUGGCCUGUGCCCUGGCUGCUUCGAGAGUGCCCCUGGCCAUGUGUCUCCUCUACUCUGGCCUCCUCCCACUUUGGUCUGUACCCAGAAUGGUCUUUCAGAAAUGCUCUUUUCUCAAACUUGUGAAUAACUCCUAUUGUGCUUCAGAUGCCAUUCCUGCUCCUCAACAGUCAGGGCCUGUGUGACGUAGUCUGUCUCCUCUCUAGCUUCUGGCAAAGUACCUCUCACUUUGUUUACUGUCCCAGACGCUGGUUUCCCACCCUGAAUUACUUCAGCACUCUCUGCAACACAGUGUGGUCCUUCCUGCUUAGAUUGAUGGGCACCCACCACCUGUGUUCCUCUAGUCUCAGCCUGACUGCUACUUACUCUUUCUCCAUAAGCCAGCCCUAGGGUGGAGUUGCCGGCCUGCCUUGCUGUGUGUUUCUGUACUUCUUCCCUGUACCUGUCGUGUUUUGAAUCAACUUCCAUGCUAAGGUAGACCAGUGGAGACUUUCUCUGUUCUUUGCUGUGUAUCCAUCCCUGUUACCCGAUAACUGAGCUUGCUGUGGAGUAGGUGCUUAAUAAAUAUUUUUAAAUGGGUUAAUUUUGUCUUUUGAAUGGAAUACAAAUACUCUUUGAUAUUAGCAUGCAAGUAUGCAGACAAGUUCUCAAAUAGAUGUCUCUUAGUCAAUUGAUUUAAUACCCUGGGUGUUCUUUUAAAUGCCUUGUGCAGGGUGCAUCGAUAGGUACAGUAAGGAAUGGAGUGGUGUGUGUUCAGCCUGUGCUACUCUUAAGUAACCGUCUGUUUAUUCGGUCAUUCUCUACUUCAGCACUCACGAAUCAGACUCUAUAGUACCCUUUGCAGAUUGUGGGACCUGAGUGUGUGAGCCUUUGGGGCCUGGGGGAGAACCUGCAGGCCAACCCCUCACUGUUCCAUUAGUGGAAUAAGACCAAUCUGAACAGAUCCAGUUUGAAUUCAGCUCUGUCAGUUUUAAGACUUACAGUACAGUCUUGAGCUUGUCUGCAAAAAAAAAAAAGAGACAGGAAUAUCUUCCUUGUAACCUGUGGAAGGACUCAGAUAAGAAAAGGAAUGUUUGAUGAUCAGCAUCACAGAGCUAAUGUCCUUGCUUUUAGCUAAGCACCCUGCCAAACAGUCCAUAUUAAUACUUUUUGUUAAAUCUCACAGCAGCCCUAUAGAUAGGGAUGUUAUUAUUUUCAUGUUCUAAAUGAAGAAAAAGACUUAUUUGGAAAACCCAAUAAUUUGUCCAAGAUCAUGAAAGGAAUAAAAGGUAGAGCUAUUGCUGUGUAUGAUUUUUAAAGCCCAGAAUGGACUCCUUAUAUCCUCCAGCCAUGCCAUCUUUAAGUGUAGCUUUGCUAGUUGGGGUUUUGAAGACUUUUCAGUCUUCUAUUGGCAUUUGAAGUCUUUAAGUCUUAGGAGGGAGAACCUUGUUACAGCUUGAAUUUUAAUUCACAUUGUAGCAACUUUGAUAUCUGUAACUGGUUGCCUGACAUUGUAUGUUUGUGGGUCCUGGAGGACUGGGUUGGACCUACCUCGGCAGUAUUUCUAAAAUGAGGGUUGUGACUCCUGGUCAGAUUUACCUGGGGGGAUUUACAGAAAUGUAAUUUCCUUGGGUGCUUCUUUGAUGUCCUAAAUUGUAAUCUCCUCCUGGGAGGAUAUGGGAAACUACAAGUGACACUAUCUAGAUAGGCGAUUCUUAUUUAGUCUGAAGCAUGAGAAUCAGUGACUAGAAGAAAUGAGAAAUGUCAGAGGAUUCUUUCAUUGUCUCAAGUUACAGGAAGACAAGAAGCAGCUCAGGUGCAGUAGCUCCAUGGGUUUCCCUGUGCAUCUCUUGGCAUUCUCUGCAUGGGCAGCCACAGCAUAGUGAUGCGGUUCUAACUGUGCAGGGGGAAGGCACAUCCCUGGCAUGAGCUCCUGUCUGCUGUUCUUAUUCUUACACAACUUUAUUGAGGAGCAGUUGGCAUACAAUAAGUUACACAUUCUUUUUUUAAAAUGAAGUUUUUAUUUUUGAUUGACAGAGUAACUGCAGUGUGAUAGGGUAUAGUGUGAUGUUUCAGUUCACAUGUAUGAUGUGUAAUGAUCAGGUCGGGGUUUUUGACAUAUCCAUUAACUCAUUCACUCAUUCAUUCAUUCAUUCAUUCAUUCAUUCAUUCAUUGUGUUUUGUGUUGGGAAUAUCCCAAAUCCUCUUCAUUAGCUAUUUGGAAACGUACAGUUGUCAUAACCGUAGUUAUCCUAUGGUGUUAUAGAACAUUAUAGAAUACUAGAAGUUAUUCCUUUUAUCCACCUGCCUUCUGCACCUGUUAACCAGCCCUCCUCUUCAUAUCCUUCGAAGGCUCUAGUAAUCAGUAUUCUACAUCUGCUUUUUUAUGAUGUCAGCUUUUUAGCUUCUAUAAAAGUGAGAACAUGUUUUAUUUGUCUUUCUAUUAAACUGCACAUUCCUGCGUCUGCCUUAUAAGGUAGACACUGCAUGAGGUCCCCACACCAUGAUGGUGAGCACAUGCAUCAGUCAGAAGUGUCAAUCAGAAGAAAUGGAAGCAUUUCUGUCUUGCAGGCCCUUCUUCCCACUCUCUUUAUUCUUUGUGAAAUCUUUGAAACUGCUAUGGGGAAAAAGUUUCCUUGUUGAGGGUAAAAUGGUAGGUAGGAACGUAUUGUGGUUUCAGUUUUUGUUUUCUUUUUGAGGAAUAUAGUGGAAAUAAUAUGAUGAUUACAGGUGUAGGUUACCAUAUCAUUUAUAGAAAGUUUUGAGAAACCGACAAGUAUUCUAGACCAUUUCUGAAAAGUUUGACAGGAAAUGUACUUUUUGGAGGGUUGAGAAAGUGGCGGAGAUGUGACUGUUGGUGGCAGGGGAGAGGAGUGACUGGUGGGUGCCAUGUGGAUGGGGGUUGCACAUGAGAACCAAAGGCUGGUUUUCUUUGGGUUUUCAUUGUAUGGCAUUUAUUCUACAUGGGAAAAACUAACAUAAAUCACAACAUGAUAUGGAAUAGAAAUAUAAUCCUCACUUAACUGGAGAAUAUAUUUAGCUCAAGUGCAUUUUACAUUUUAUUGAAUGGCAUGAUUUAUUUAUGAUAUUUAUAGAUUAAAAAUAAAAUUUGCCCCAUCACUAUAACUGGCUUUGGGUUGGGUGUUUCUUUAGUUGCUGAAUACUCUUGCUGAAGUUAAGGUGUCUUUUUUUUUUGGGGGGGGGGGGUAAGUACCAGGGAUUGAACCCAGGCGCACUUAACUGAGCCAUAUCUCCAGCCCUUUGUAUAUUUUCUUUAGAGACAUGGUCAUGCUAAGUUGCUGAGGCUGGUUUUGAAUUUGAGCUCCUCCUGCCUCAGCCUCCCGAGCUGCUGGGAUUACAGGUGUGCAUUGCUGUGUCCAGUACCGAAGUUAGUUUCUACUGCAGAAAGCAUUAUAUAAUGUCAUUGAGUUAAUAGCUGUUUUUUUUUUUUUUUAAAGAAUUGGUAAAAUGUGUGGGAUUCAACUGUCACCUAGUUUCUUUUACUCUUUGAAUUUCUUUACUAUAUUUUUAUUUAUUUCCAGUUUUUCCAUGUAUUUAUUUUGAAGGAAUAUGCUUGAGGUAAAAAUGGGAGCAUUUCUGUCAUAAUUUAACCUUCUUAGGAAUAUCAUUUUUGCUCUGUGUCUGAGAGUUGAAACAAUUCUUCGUACUUUAUAGAUGACAUUCCCUCCUCACCUCUACGGCUAAAUCAGUCAGUCAGUCAAUCAAAACCAAAAUGUAAUGGAGAGUACACAUCUCAGUUCCAGGUGGCGCUCAUUGUGGGUGAGAAUUCCCUGGAGAAAGACCCUUUGCUGGAGCACUAGUGACUUGAUGUUCCAUCAGAAGGGGCUCGGUGUGUUUCUUCUUUUAGGCUGGUAGCUCAUGAGUGUGGUGGCACAGAGUCAUUUCCAGGUUUAGACUAGCAUGUAUACUGUGCUUACACCCAUAGGUUUUGGGGAUUAGGUUGGGGCUUUUGAGUCCUUUCUCUCUUUAAUUCAGUUACUAGUUACAGAAAGAGACUAGCUAUAAUUGUAACAAGUCUACCCAAGGUUGACUAUCCUUCUGUACCUCUCCUUAUGAAAAUAUCCUGCAGGUUGACUGUUUGGGGGUUUGCUUUGGAUUAAUGAUCACCUUUCAGUCUGUUAGUAUUAAUUCAGUUCAUUCAGUCAUUAACUGGCCGUGGCCAUAGGAAAUGGGACGCUGCUGGAUAGGGAAGAUGGGUCAUUCUAGUUCAUGAGCCACUGCUGUCUGGGGCCUGGGAAGGAGGCUGGAAGGAGGUUCCACAGAGAGAAUACCUUGAAUCCAAUUUAGGACCAGGGCUAACCUCUUGGGCUGUGUUGGGGGAAGCUACUUAGGUCCAGUCACCUUUAAGAAUUCAGAGCAGAACUGUCAAUUUAACAGUGUCCAGGGCUAAUAGGCAGGUGUCAACCAUAAUAGCUGCUUACUGCAUUGUUCCUGUGGGAAAAAUAUAUGUGAGUUUCCCAUACCUCCUUUGUAAGUGGACUGGCUCUGAGAAUUGGCUCUUCUUGCUAUUGUGGGGGAGGGCAGGAUGUGGCAGUUAGCUACUGGCUGGGGUUGUGUUGCCCCUGAGAGUUUCCAGCCGCUUUUUGCUUGCUUACUUGUAUUGUAGGGUCCUUGUGAGGACCACGGUGAACUGCUUACUGCCCUUACCUUCCCUUACCCAAUCACAAACUCAUUUGGAAAACAUUCCUAAGAUCCUUCAUUGAUGUUUUGUUUUUAAAUCAGCUAAAACAUUUUUAAUUUUGGCACAAUUUCCUUCAAAGGUAGUUUGUCAGAACUGCUAAAUAUUUAGGUGGAAAGAUGGACUCAGUUCCAUGGAAUCAUUUGUGGGAAUUCUGUUGGUUGUAAUAUUCAGGUGCCGAGGAACAAUUCCUGACUACCUGGAGGUGGGGGCAUCCUCUGGCAGUUGGUGUCUGGCACUUCUGGCAGGGAUUAACUGGUAGAAAGUUUAGGGCACCAUUUUUUUUUUUUGGGUGAGUUAGUGAAUUCUAAUCAUAACUUAGAACACUUUUUAAAGUCAUCCAUAAAUACUUCAUUGUCUUUAUUGUCAAGAGAUUAUUUUAAAAAUACAGAUUUUGGAAAUGAAUAUUGCCCAUGGAGCUCUUUGUUCUGACUAGGCUUGUUGCUUUUCCUUACUAAUAGAUAUUAGGAAAACAAAACUUGACUGGCUUCUUGCCUUUUGUUAGAAACAUGCUGAAAUGGUCUAAAUAAUGAUGCUACUAAAACAAUGUAUGCAUUGUUUUGAUGGGUAUUGAUUCCUUCUGUAGUGUUCAGAAUUGCUUGCAUGCCUCCCAGCAACAAAUGCAUAUGUGACUGUGUGAGAGGAGCAUUCCAGAAAAAUGGAAUGCUGCUUUACUUUUCAGUAGCUGUGCAACUUAAAGGGAAAAAGUCAUGUUUUUAGAAAUGCGGCCUUAAGGCACUAACCCACUUAUAUCCAGUGCAUGAAGCUCUGCAAGUUAUUUUAACACAACCUGAUCAGAGGGAACAAAAAUCUGGCAUUUAUAGUUUGUUUGUUUAUUGAUUGCCAUAAGUCAUUAGAAAGAAUAUCCUGUUCCUUUUAAUAAAAUCCUCUUGGACAGUUAAGUGUUAUAUUGUGGGGCAGAGCUGACCUGGGAGAAUGUAGGUAGAAAUGGCAAAUGGGGAUUUAUGAAAGAAUUGUAACCAAGUUAAGGUCCUUUUGCUAGUUGUGCUUCACCUGCUCUCCUGUGUGGCAGGAUGUAAUGUGUGUUGCUUCUUAGAACUUGCUGUCCAGUACACAGAAGUUUGGAUUCUGAAAUCAGGGAAUGUAGCCUCUCAAGCUUAGUUUUCAGAGAUGAAAUGCUGAAGAUGAUCUUAGUAGUAGGCUCAACUGUUCGUGUUAUUUACUAGUGAAAUGAAUAUUGAAAUUGUUUACUGUAACAGUUAAUUGUUACACUGUUAACAGUUAACUUACUGUUGCUGAAAGUUAAGCAAAUGUGUUGUGACUUAGGUGUUAGCUACAUUUUCAAAACAAAAUUUAGCUCUUUUCUUUUUAAAAACAUAAAUUAGUUUGUUAAUGGGGAAAGAGUAACAUUUGUUGAAAAAUUAAGUCACUUGCUUUUUUCCCUUUGUAGAUCUUCGUGUCAAGCCUGUAUUAACUCCUUGUAAUUCCAGUAGGACUAGCAAGUUAUUUUGCUUAAAAUGUCUUUUUUCCCCCCUGUGCAGUGAAAGUCGAAUGUGAGAACAGAUCUUAAUAGAUAUAGUUACACAGUUUAUUUUAUCAUGUAUCACUUUAUUGCUAUCUUCUAGAACAUUGUUAUACUAAAUGUUCCAAUAAUGGAAAUUUUAUGCAGCUACUUCAAAUGAAAGAAAUUUGCAAAAACUCAAUUUUGGAACUCAUUCCUUGAGGAGAGGGAAAAAACUCACCAUGCUGUGACCAAAUUAGAUUUCUGAUAUGUUGGCAACUUAUCAAACACUGUCAUUUCCAGAAAACAGGGUGUGGGUUCCCACUGAAAUAUCACUAUUUCCCAAUCAAUGUCAAUUUGAGAUAUUUUGAGUUUUAAUAUGAUUGAAUGGCCAAAUGUUUACAAAGUUGUUGUUGGUAACAGGUAAUUAAAAAUUGGUUUUGUACCUAAAUGAAAAUGGCUUUAUGUGGAAUCAGGAAUGACCAUGUUCAAUUACCAGGGAGUCGUCUUUUCAAGAGCUUGAUUUAAAAUUCUCAGAGAUAUUAGUUGUACUUACUGGAGCUCCUUUGUUUUGCAGAGAUCAUGAUGCAGCCGUCCUUUUGGAUUUCUUUUUAAUAAUGUGUGACCCUUCACCUUUGAUCCCCUGACCUGCAUUACCUUGGUAACCAUUUCAUUUUUUAAUUUAAUUUCAUUUUUAAUUUUGGUGUACAAGCUGUAACAUUUCAUCUCUCAAAGUGUAGCACGCUGAUUUCCUCAGAUAGAGAUACCCCUUUGAGCGAUAAAUUUGCAAAAUGCUGUCUUCAUUUUUUGUAUUAAAAUUCAUUUCAGUUUUAUAAAAUAAAAUGUAAUCUGUGUUUUCAUCCUUUUAAAAUUUAAGUUUAGUGAGUGCAUUCCCCCAUACAGGAUAGUUCCUCUUCUACCAGUGUUUUGCGGAAGCUGAAUUAAGUGACAUUCAUAUGUAAUGCACACCCCCCUUACCCCCACUCCACUGCCACUCCCUGUCAUUCCCCUGCUGUCACCACACAGCCCUGCCAUUGCAGGAUGAUGACUUGUCUUCCCUUCAGAAUAGUAGCAACUUGAAUUUUAGUCUUAGCAGCCAGGUUCUGCACCCUCAGGUUAUAUUUUGUAUUCUCAAAUAUUGUGGGGAGGGAAAGCUUAGAGUUUUAUUUUUAAUUUCAUUUAAGGGCUGGAAGAAUGUAAGCUAUUUUCAUUACCAGUGUUUGCCUUUCCCACCUCCUUUAAUGUUUUAUUUCUUUGAGACCUAAAUUAAGGAAAAGUCACAGUUUUAAUUUGACCAAAAAAUGUGGUUUUGUCUAUGCUGAAAUUUUAUCAGUGAGCUCUGCUGGUCCCUAUAUCAGAUUGAUUUUUGCCAUUUGUUCUUAUUUCAUGUUUGCUUUUCAAAUAAUGUAUUUUUAUUGUACUCUUCUUCUUUUCAGAAAAUUCUUAAAAGCAAAACAAACCAAAACCAAAAGUCAAACUUGAGUUAAUUCUUUGAACUGGCAAAAUACUCCAAGAAAUUGUAUUCUUAAAAAAAAAAAAAAAGCUGCGGACUCUCUUGCAUGGCCCAGUGAAGCACAGAUGAUUUUUUAAGUGUCUCAUUAUUUUAUUCUCUAACAUUUAAUGCUGAUGUUUUAAUUGCACACAGCUGAAGCUGCUAAAUGAGUACUGAAAUAGAUUUAAGUCCUCUCUGAGCUUUGUUGAUACCUAUAAAAGUUUAUAUCAUUCAUUAGAACCACAAAUUAAAAUUAGUUGUGGUGAGCUGUUCAUUGGAGAUUGGAACUCUCACGAACAUUUUAGCUCACAGACUUUGUUUUUGCCUGUUACACCUAUUUACCUGGAAAGCUGCUUUCGCCCUGUUGGGUAUCCUUUCUUUUCACAGAAUUGGAAAAAUAUCAGAGUUGAGGAAUACAAAUAGACAACUCAUCCUAUGAUUGUAAAGCCCCCAUGAUUAUAAGUGUUCCAGUGGUUGAGAGCAGCUUCCUUGCUGAACCUUGAAUUUUAAGGUGAUUUUUUUAUUAUAAUGUGUUCCACUGUUGUGCAGAGAAAUUUUCCAGAUCCAGAAACUUUUUUUUUUUGGCCUUAGGUACGUUGUUUAUUUGUUCUUUUGUUUAUUUGUUCUUCUAGCACCAAAGGGAUGGUGCCUGAAUCACAGUUCAUAGACUCACAGGGCUUUAGGGGACAGUGACUGCUUGUCAGCUCCACUCCUCUUCCUGAGGGAUGAGCUGGCCCAUGGUUCCCUGGGGAGUCACAAGUUCUCUGAUGACAGAGUCAGCUCUCUCUGUGGGCCCCCAUCUACUUGAGAGAGCCAGAUAACUUUAUUUAUAGCCUGUAGUAGGAGAUGAAGAGACAUUAAUAGGUGCAGAAAUAAUUUCUAUUGUCAUGUUUUAUUUUGUGAUUAAAUCAGUUAAAAAUUUUAAGGUUUUCUGAUUAAUACAUUUUAAGAGAACCUAAUUUUUCUAAGAGAGCUAGUACACAAAUACACUUAUUAUUUUCAAUGAACAUUAGUUAUAUGGUUAGUAUUUAGGACUUCUGGUAAGUUGUGAGGCACAUGAAUACUGUUUUUGUAAUCAUGAUUCACUGAGAAAACCCUUGUCUGAGAGUCAGAAAACUUGCUUUGGACUAGCAUCAAGGUCUUUGGACAUGUUACUGGUGUCUUUUGAGGUAGUUACCCCCAAACUAAAAUAUUCGAAGACAAAGAACUUGACACUUUAAUUUGGGAAUGAAUACUGUGAAAUCAGUUGUCUUGAUUGACCACAUAGGAGCUUGUAAAACAUUUCGUUGAUGCUGCUUCCAUUUUAUGUGUAUGUGAAAUGUAGACUGUGUGUCUCCUACUUGCCUUUUAGGGUUGUUGGGAGGAUAAAUGAAACACACACUGGGAACUCAGAAGAAAGGUGCUUUUGAAACUGAACCUCAUCCUAUGGCUGUGCCAAGAGGCAGUGGUAGUGAACCCCGUGGUGAAGGGCCAGGACCAUGGCUCUGGAGCCAGGCUGCCGUGGUUUGAAUCCCACCUUGGCCUCUUGCAAGCGGUCUGACUGCAGCACAUUACCUAACCUCCCUGUGCCUGAGUUUCCUCCUCUUUAACUUGAGGAUGAUAAUAGUAGCACCUACUCAAAGGAUCCUGGUGAGUUUUAGCUGAGCUGAUGUGUGCGGAAUCCUUAGAGCUGCGCUGGCG
Molecule: long non-coding RNA, 20796 nt
Filed under: Marmota monax (woodchuck)
Lineage: Eukaryota; Metazoa; Chordata; Mammalia; Rodentia; Sciuridae
Source: RNAcentral